GUAGUGAUGAUGCCAUUAUUUCUUUGACGAGAAAUGAUGUUGACGGCAUUAUUUUUGAUAAGAACCAUGCAUUAUUCAAAGAAAUAAAUCAAGUUGGAGAAAAAAAUAAUUUAGUUAAUAAAGAGCUAGAGGAGGAUAAUGAAGGUGAAGAACAAAUGGAAGAAGAAGAAGAUGAGUAGGAUAUGCAUGAAUAAUUGGUAUGAUAUUGUGUGUGGUAUGUUAUUUUAUCUCUAAUUUUUAUUAUAUGUUUGCUUCUUUAUAAUUAUUUCUAAAAAAGCGAUUUGUAUUUAUAUGAAUUUAUUUAUAGGUAUCUUAUGAUGCAAUUG
This 326-nucleotide long non-coding RNA is filed under the name Ananas comosus (pineapple). Its description in RNAcentral is "long non-coding RNA (ACOM_LNC012386)". Lineage: Eukaryota; Viridiplantae; Streptophyta; Magnoliopsida; Poales; Bromeliaceae. The record is from RNAcentral.